This 426-nucleotide ribosomal RNA is filed under the name uncultured beta proteobacterium. Its description in RNAcentral is "bacterial SSU rRNA". It matches the Rfam family "Bacterial small subunit ribosomal RNA", at positions 958 to 1392 of the family's 1533-position model. The record is from RNAcentral. Lineage: Bacteria; Pseudomonadati; Pseudomonadota; Betaproteobacteria.
AACGCGAAGAACCUUACCCGGGCUUGAAAGUUAGUGAACUAUCCAGAGAUGGAUGGGUCCUUCGGGACACGAAACUAGGUGCUGCAUGGCUGUCGUCAGCUCGUGCCGUGAGGUGUUGGGUUAAGUCCCGCAACGAGCGCAACCCUUGUCAUUAGUUGCUACGAAAGGGCACUCUAAUGAGACUGCCGGUGACAAACCGGAGGAAGGUGGGGAUGACGUCAAGUCCUCAUGGCCCUUAUGGGUAGGGCUUCACACGUCAUACAAUGGUACAUACAGAGCGCCGCCAACCCGCGAGGGGGAGCUAAUCGCAGAAAGUGUAUCGUAGUCCGGAUUGUAGUCUGCAACUCGACUGCAUGAAGUUGGAAUCGCUAGUAAUCGCGGAUCAGCAUGUCGCGGUGAAUACGUUCCCGGGCCUUGUACACACCG